ACCAUAAACGUAAUUCCGUUAAG
This 23-nucleotide small nuclear RNA is filed under the name Arabidopsis thaliana (thale cress). RNAcentral describes it as "snRNA_02295". Lineage: Eukaryota; Viridiplantae; Streptophyta; Magnoliopsida; Brassicales; Brassicaceae. The record is from RNAcentral.